UCCCCACCCUCUUCCAGAACACAGAUCCAAAGAACUCAUUCUCUCCCUAUUGAAUUCUCUGCUUUACCUUCCAAAGUUCCAAGCAUCAAAUACGAUAAACACAUAAGCAAUGGCAAAACGAAAAAAAACAUUCUACUUCUCCAUGAAUCUGUCCCUCAUUUAGCGUGGAACUAGAGCGUUCCAAAGCCACAAAUCGAGUAGUGAACCCAAACAAGUUAAAGAUCAAUGAAAAUGGCGAGUAAUUUCAUCAAGAACAUGGACAAAAAUAGACCAAAGAAACAGCAAAAUAUGGAUAAAGCAUAAGAAG
RNAcentral lists this long non-coding RNA (307 nucleotides) under Lathyrus oleraceus (garden pea). RNAcentral's name for it is "Pisum sativum (pea) long non-coding RNA (PSAT_LNC038477)". Lineage: Eukaryota; Viridiplantae; Streptophyta; Magnoliopsida; Fabales; Fabaceae. The record is from RNAcentral.